This is a long non-coding RNA of Magnolia sinica, 763 nucleotides long. RefSeq lists it as uncharacterized. The record is from RefSeq and is a predicted model, not a curated record. The transcript is spliced from 2 exons. Lineage: Eukaryota; Viridiplantae; Streptophyta; Magnoliopsida; Magnoliales; Magnoliaceae.
GAAGUUAAGCUUAUUUCUAGUGUACUGCUUGCAGGAAAAUAAUAUUUUGUGUGCAUGCAUCACAUGUUCUGAAUUUUUAGCUUACACAACUAUCAUGUUCCAGAACCGUACUUGACACCAUCAUCUUUAAGCUCCUUGUAUGUGGCACAUGUCAAUAUGGACAUGUGUGCCAUGUCACUAUCCUUUUUAAGCGCCUUCCUAAAUCUAUUCCCUUUUCUUAAGUUUUGACUAAAAGAUACCUCGUUUCAACACUCAGGUCUUGGUAUCGAUUCCUAGUGGGGAUGGCUAACAGUGAAGUGUGAACUGACAGUGGAGUGUACUAAUAAGCUAAUAGGAAAAAAAAAUUAAAAUAAAUAAAUAAAUAAAUAAAGACUAACAGAUGAAAAAAUUAACCCAUGAUCUCAUCACCUGGAUACUUUGCCUGCGAUAAACAUGACCUGAACCAUCAUUUCAAGACGUGAAUUUGUCAGCAAGUAAACAGGAGAGCGGAUUACGUGAGACCCCGGCAUCACCCGAAAUGGUGCAGUCUUUACCAUGGGGCGCCCCACCUUGAUUUAUGUAUUAUGUACCCAUGCCAUCCAUCCAUUUUCCAGAUCAUUUUUAGGGCAAUAUUAUUCCAAAAAUGAAGCAAAUCCAGUUAUCAGGUGGACCAUAGCAUAAAGAAACAGUGGUGGUUGACCGUCCUACCAUUAAAAACUUCUCAGGGCAUAUGUUAAUGUUUAUGUAGUGUUUAUUUAUCAUCCAAUCUAUUGCUAAGGUCACA